Molecule: long non-coding RNA, 487 nt
Organism: Oncorhynchus tshawytscha (Chinook salmon)
Lineage: Eukaryota; Metazoa; Chordata; Actinopteri; Salmoniformes; Salmonidae
Source: Ensembl
GUAGAGGGCAGGAUACUGGAGGCUGAGGAGGAAAGGAGAGGAGAGGAGAGGAGAGGAGAGGAGAGGAGAGGAGAGGAGAGGAGAGGAGAGGAGAGGAGAAUCCCAGGUAGAGGGCAGGAUACUGGAGGCUGAGGAGGAGAGGAGAGGAGAGGAGGAGAGCUCUGCUGCCAUCCCAGGUAGAGGGCAGGAUACUGGAUGCUUGCAUGAAGCAGGAAUAUGGUGCAAUGCUGUGUCCCAAAACUAGCUGGACCCCUGCCUGCUUCUCUAUCUGUGGUGUCAUUUACUGUAUGAAGCUUUGGUCUGCAUGUCACGGAGACACUCAUCCUAUAAUAGAGGUCAUGGAGACACUCAUCCCAUCAUAGAGGUCAUGGAGACACUCAUCCCAUAAUAGAGGUCACGGAGACACUCAUCCCAUAAUAAAGGUCACGGAGACACUCAUCCCAUAAUAAAGGUCACGGAGACACUCAUCCCAUAAUAAAGGUCACGG